UUGCACCCUUUGGACGUCGACCGGCGCACGGGUGAGUAACGCGUAUCCAACCUGCCCUUUACUUGGGGAUAACCCGUUGAAAGACGGACUAAUACCCAAUGAUAUUCAUUGAUGACAUCUGAUUUGAAUUAAAGAUUUAUCGGUAUAGGAUGGGGAUGCGUCUGAUUAGCUUGUUGGUGAGGUAACGGCUCACCAAGGCCACGAUCAGUAGGGGUUCUGAGAGGGAGGUCCCCCACAUUGGAACUGAGACACGGUCCAAACUCCUACGGGAGGCAGCAGUGAGGAAUAUUGGUCAAUGGACGAGAGUCUGAACCAGCCAAGUAGCGUGCAGGAUGACGGCCCUAUGGGUUGUAAACUGCUUUUGUUUGGGAAUAAUCGACAUUACGUGUAAUGUUUUGCAUGUACCAUUCGAAUAAGGACCGGCUAAUUCCGUGCCAGCAGCCACGGUAAUACGGAAGGUCCAGGCGUUAUCCGGAUUUAUUGGGUUUAAAGGGAGUGUAGGCGGUUGGUUAAGCGUGUUGUGAAAUGUAGAUGCUCAACAUCUGACUUGCAGCGCGAACUGGCUGACUUGAGUACACACAACGUAGGCGGAAUUCAUGGUGUAGCGGUGAAAUGCUUAGAUAUCAUGAAGAACUCCGAUUGCGAAGGCAGCUUACGGGAGUGUUACUGACGCUUAAGCUCGAAGGUGCGGGUAUCGAACAGGAUUAGAUACCCUGGUAGUCCGCACAGUAAACGAUGGAUGCCCGCUGUUAGCACCUGGUGUUAGCGGCUAAGCGAAAGCAUUAAGCAUCCCACCUGGGG
RNAcentral lists this ribosomal RNA (801 nucleotides) under uncultured Bacteroidales bacterium. RNAcentral's name for it is "bacterial SSU rRNA". It matches the Rfam family "Bacterial small subunit ribosomal RNA", at positions 80 to 878 of the family's 1533-position model. Lineage: Bacteria; Pseudomonadati; Bacteroidota; Bacteroidia; Bacteroidales. The record is from RNAcentral.